UACGUAGGGGGCUAGCGUUGUUCGGAUUUACUGGGCGUAAAGCGCACGUAGGCGGAUCGUUAAGUCGGGGGUGAAAUCCUGGAGCUCAACUCCAGAACUGCCUUUGAUACUGAGGAUCUUGAGUAUGGGAGAGGUGAGUGGAACUGCGAGUGUAGAGGUGAAAUUCGUAGAUAUUCGCAAGAACACCAGUGGCGAAGGCGGCUCACUGGCCCAUUACUGACGCUGAGGCACGAAAGCGUGGGGAGCAAACAGGG
RNAcentral lists this ribosomal RNA (254 nucleotides) under uncultured bacterium. Its description in RNAcentral is "partial 16S ribosomal RNA". It matches the Rfam family "Bacterial small subunit ribosomal RNA", at positions 524 to 777 of the family's 1533-position model. The record is from RNAcentral.